GUGGGGAAUCUUGCGCAAUGGGCGAAAGCCUGACGCAGCCAUGCCGCGUGAAUGAUGAAGGUCUUAGGAUUGUAAAAUUCUUUCACCGGGGACGAUAAUGACGGUACCCGGAGAAGAAGCCCCGACUAACUUCGUGCCAGCAGCCGCGGUAAUACGAAGGGGGCUAGCGUUGCUCGGAAUUACUGUGCGUAAAGGGCGCGUAGGCGGACAGUUUAGUCAGAGGUGAAAGCCCAGUGCUCAACCUUGGAAUUGCCUUUGAUACUGGCUGUCUUUAGUACGGGAGAGGUGAGUGGAACUCCGAGUGUAGAGGGGAAAUUCGUAGAUAUUCGGAAGAACACCAGUGGCGAAGGCGACUCACUGGCCCGUUACUGACGCUGAGGCGCGAAAGCGUGGGGAGCAAACAGGAUUAGAAACCCUUGUAGUCC
Molecule: ribosomal RNA, 425 nt
Filed under: uncultured bacterium
Lineage: Bacteria
Description: partial 16S ribosomal RNA
Rfam family: Bacterial small subunit ribosomal RNA
Source: RNAcentral